GGACCGGUUAGCUCAGUCAGUUGAGCGUGGUGCUAACAACACUAAGGUCGCAGGUUCUAUUCCCGUUCGGUCCC
Apaloderma vittatum (bar-tailed trogon) is the source of this 74-nucleotide non-coding RNA. The record is from Rfam. Lineage: Eukaryota; Metazoa; Chordata; Aves; Trogoniformes; Trogonidae.